Molecule: ribosomal RNA, 496 nt
Filed under: uncultured bacterium
Lineage: Bacteria
Description: partial 16S ribosomal RNA
Rfam family: Bacterial small subunit ribosomal RNA
Source: RNAcentral
GACGAACGCUGGCGGCGUGCCUAAUACAUGCAAGUCGAGCGCUUGAGGUUGGUUCUUGUACCGAUUGGGUGAGCGGCGGACGGGUGAGUACCGCGUGGGGAACCUGCCGUUGAGCGGGGGACAACAUUUGGAAACCAAUGCUAAUACCGCAUAAGAACUUGAAACACAAGGUUCAUGUUUGAAAGAGGCAUUUGCAUCACCCAAAUAGGAUCCCCCGUUGGAUUAGCUAGUGGGUUGGGUAAACGCCUACCAAGGCGAGGUUCCAUAGCGGGUCUGAGAGGAGGAUCGGCCACAUUGGAACUGAGACACGGUCCAGACUCCUACGGGAGGCAGCAGUGGGGAAUAUUGGACAAUGGGCGAAAGCCUGACGCAGCAAGGCCGCGUGUGUGAAGAAGGUCUUCGGAUUGUAAAGCCCUUUAAUUUGGGAGGAAGGUCAGUAGGUUGAAACGUUCAUGAAUUGACGGUACCUACACAGAAAGCAACGGCUAACUACGUG